Molecule: long non-coding RNA, 1398 nt
Organism: Leucoraja erinaceus (little skate)
Lineage: Eukaryota; Metazoa; Chordata; Chondrichthyes; Rajiformes; Rajidae
Exons: 3
Source: RefSeq, a predicted model, not a curated record
CUGCCGGACCACGAAGUGAAAGGGUCAUGGCUCUCUGAGCUGCAGCUCUACUCCAAGGGGAAUCCCCUCCAUGUGCUUUUUCAGCCAAUUGAUGUGCGGAUACAGCACGAAUACAGCUUUUUAUUAGACAUGAACUGUUUAAAUUUAAAAUUGGCGCUCAUUUUGUGAUUUUGGUGGUUGCAAGAUGGCGUCGAUUACAUCAUUUCCGGUCGGAGAGAAGCUGGUGGCGAUGACGCCAUUUCCGGUCGGAGGCAAGAUUACGCUGCCUGCUGAAGACGGAGUACACGAGGUGUUGAACAAUUCUACAUAACUGGCUGCUUUCUCAACAUCAUGCCAGGAAAUGUUAGAGGUCAAGGUGAUGUGGAUAUUGUGUGGUAUCCUCUGGGAUAGCAGCUACAUUCUGCCUGGUGGAAGAACUACACAUUAUCGAUUCAAGAUACCCAUCCAAGUGGCCGAGGAUACAUUGUGCAACAUCGAGAAGAACUCUAAGACUGCACAUUUCACGAGGCCAGUGAAAGUCAUUGUUUGGGAUGAAUGUCCAAUAAUUACGAGAGAACACUUUGAAGUUGUGAACAGAACUCUUCCAGAUGUCUUCAGAAACACUAAGAAUUUUGGUGCCUCCCUGCCAGCACAGGCCUCAGUGACUGAGCUGCCAGCCCUCAGUGACUGCCAGCCCAAAAAUCCAUUCCGCCCACAAACUCCAUACUAACCUUCGGCCCAUCACACUAGCUCAACAGAAAUAGAGAGAGUACAGAGGAGAUUUACUACAAUGUUGCCUGGGUUUCAACAACUAAGUUACAUAGAUAGGUUGAAUAAGUUAGGUCUUUAUUCUCUGGAGCGCAGAAGGUUAAGGGGGGACCUGAUAGAGGUCUUUAAAAUGAUGAGAGGGAUAGACAGAGUUGAUGUGGACAAGCUUUUCCCUUUGAGAAUAGGGAAGAUUCAAACAAGAGGACAUGACUUCAGAAUUAAGGGACAGAAGUUCAGGGGUAAUAUGAGGGGGAACUUCUUUACGCAGAGAGUGGUGGCGGUGUGGAAUGAGCUCCCAGUGGAAGUGGUGGAGGCAGGUUCAUUGGUAUCAUUUAAAAAUAAAUUGGAUAGGCAUAUGGAUGAGAAGGGAAUGGAGGGUUAUGGUACGAGUGCAGGCAGGUGGGACUAAGGGGAACAACAUUUGUUCGGCAUGGACUUGUAGGGCCGAGAUGGCCUGUUUCUGUGCUGUAAUUGUUAUAUGGUUAUAUGGUUAAAUAUGAAAGGAUAGGUCAAAGGUUUCCUAAAUGUUGGAACAUCGCCCAAGAAUGUUGUCAUUAAUAGUGUGCUUCAUUGAAUGAUGACUUCUGAGAUAUUCUCAGAUUUUCCUUCUUAAAAUUUGACUGCUGACUUUCUCCAUAUUAAAAUUGUUUC